RNAcentral lists this long non-coding RNA (268 nucleotides) under Elaeis guineensis (African oil palm). RNAcentral's name for it is "long non-coding RNA (EGUI_LNC011331)". The record is from RNAcentral. Lineage: Eukaryota; Viridiplantae; Streptophyta; Magnoliopsida; Arecales; Arecaceae.
UUGGUUUUUAUUAUAUGAAUAGAAUUGCUCUCCCUAUUUUGGUGUGUUUAAAAAGUAGACACGGCAAAAAUUGUAUUUAAAGAUAGUGUUUAGAUAUCUAAAUUUUAUUUCUGAAAUAGGAAUAUGAAUUCUUGAAGAAUAGCUAUUCAUCUUUGUUAUUUCAGAUUUCUAUUUGGUUGAAAAUCUGGUAUAUUCCACCUUUAUUUCAAUGCAAUUAAUACAAUGUUAUUCCAAUUGAUGUUCAAUAUGAUCUAAAAUUAUCAACUCC